RNAcentral lists this ribosomal RNA (443 nucleotides) under uncultured bacterium. RNAcentral describes it as "SSU rRNA". It matches the Rfam family "Bacterial small subunit ribosomal RNA", at positions 26 to 518 of the family's 1533-position model. The record is from RNAcentral.
AGAACGAACGCUGGCGGCAUGCCUAACACAUGCAAGUCGAACGAGACCUUCGGGUCUAGUGGCGCACGGGUGCGUAACGCGUGGGAAUCUGCCCUUAGGUACGGAAUAACAGUGAGAAAUUACUGCUAAUACCGUAUGAUGUCUUCGGACCAAAGAUUUAUCGCCUAGGGAUGAGCCCGCGUUGGAUUAGCUAGUUGGUGGGGUAAAGGCCUACCAAGGCGACGAUCCAUAGCUGGUCUGAGAGGAUGAUCAGCCACACUGGGACUGAGACACGGCCCAGACUCCUACGGGAGGCAGCAGUGGGGAAUAUUGGACAAUGGGCGAAAGCCUGAUCCAGCAAUGCCGCGUGAGUGAAGAAGGCCUUCGGUGUAAAGCUCUUUUACCCGGGAAGAUAAUGACUGUACCGGGAGAAUAAGCCCGGCUAACUCCGUGCCAGCAGCCGC